This 226-nucleotide ribosomal RNA is filed under the name uncultured bacterium. RNAcentral describes it as "partial 16S ribosomal RNA". It matches the Rfam family "Bacterial small subunit ribosomal RNA", at positions 107 to 334 of the family's 1533-position model. The record is from RNAcentral.
UGAGUAACACGUAUCCAACCUGCCGUCUACUCUUGACAGCCUUCUGAAAGGAAGAUUAAUACAAGAUGGCAUCAUGAGUCCGCAUGUUCACAUGAUUAAAGGUAUUCCGGUAGACGAUGGGGAUGCGUUCCAUUAGAUAGUAGGCGGGGUAACGGCCCACCUAGUCUUCGAUGGAUAGGGGUUCUGAGAGGAAGGUCCCCCACAUUGGAACUGAGACACGGCCCAA